CGAGAACGAUUUUUCUUUGCAUGUUUGAUGCAUGCGAGACUUUGCAUACAGUGAUAUGUAGCUUAAAAAAUGGCGUAUUCUCUAUUUAAAGUAAGGGUUACAUAAAGAAGAGCGCCAUGACCGCUCCAACGUCUGCGGGAGAACGGCUCAUUGACUAUUUCGUUGUUUGCGGACUUGACAAUGUGUCCGGCUUGGAACCCGACCAGCUAUUAGGUGAUUCACAUCACGUUCCACCCCUUGAAAGGUCUUAUCGGGCAAAGACAUUAGCUCAUUAUCCUGAUCAUGUCCCCUGGAAUCCAUUUGAUGAACAUGCAGUUUGCAUGGUAUGAUUUAUGCUUGGUUGGAAACAACCAAUUUUUCAUAAAAGAAACCUUGUUACUUUGCUGAAGG
Xenia sp. Carnegie-2017 is the source of this 390-nucleotide long non-coding RNA. RefSeq lists it as uncharacterized. The transcript is spliced from 2 exons. NCBI's taxonomy places the organism in Eukaryota, Metazoa, Cnidaria, Anthozoa, Malacalcyonacea, Xeniidae. The record is from RefSeq and is a predicted model, not a curated record.